CCUACGGGAGGCAGCAGUGGGGAAUAUUGGGCAAUGGGCGAAAGCCUGACCCAGCAACGCCGCGUGAAGGAAGAAGGCUUUCGGGUUGUAAACUUCUUUUGACCGGGAAGAGCAGAAGACGGUACCUGCCGAAUAAGCCACGGCUAACUACGUGCCAGCAGCAGCGGUAAUACGUAGGUGGCAAGCGUUGUCCGGAUUUACUGGGUGUAAAGGGCGUGUAGCCGGGCUGACAAGUCAGAUGUGAAAUCCGGGGGCUCAACCCCCGAACUGCAUUUGAAACUGUUGGUCUUGAGUAUCGGAGAGGCAGGCGGAAUUCGUGGUGUAGCGGUGAAAUGCAUAGAUAUUAGGAAGAACACCAGUGGCGAAGGCAGCCUGCUGGACGGCGACUGACGGUGAGGCGCGAAAGCGUGGGGAGCAAACAGGAUUAGAUACCCGAGUAGUC
Molecule: ribosomal RNA, 442 nt
Filed under: uncultured bacterium
Lineage: Bacteria
Description: partial 16S ribosomal RNA
Rfam family: Bacterial small subunit ribosomal RNA
Source: RNAcentral